GACGGCUGGGUUGGGGCAAAAGCGUUGAAGGGAGAGGGAAAGGAAGGCUUGGAGGCGAUGAGGGGAACCGGGUUGAGAAUGAGAUGAGGAGGAUUAAGGGGAGAAAGGGUUAGAAGCCAGGGAGAGGAGGAGUGAGAAAAAGCCAGCCAAGGAGAUAGGAAGGAGGCAAAAGCCAGGGUGGGCGUUAAGGAAGCCGGGCAGGGAAUGAGGUUAGGGCUGGGGGAAAGGGAUCCUGGGGUUAGGUGUAAGAGCAGGGGUUUGAAGGGGAAAUCUUCGUAGCGGGUGGUGUUGGGGUGAGGGGUACCGGGGUAAGUGUUGGAAGUGGAAGACAAGGAGGGGCAGAGCUGGGGUAAUAGUUGGGAGUAGGAAAGAGAGAGUGAUUAAGAGCCAGACGUGACGAGGGUGUGAACUAGUGCGGAGCGAGAUGAGCUGAAGGACUGGGACCAACGGUGUGGUGGGAACUGCUGGCGAGGUUCUGAGAAAGGAAUGGGUAGUGGGUGGGCGAUGGAUGUAAAUUCUGUAAAGUGAGGGAGGGCAAAUGAGACCUGGACUGGAACCAGGUGGAGUCAGGAAUAAGAGUGUGGUGGAAGGGCGAAAGGAAACAGAUAAGAGAUGGGUGUCUGUAGGACGAUUCUGGGACCAGAAGAGCUGAAAGGAGACUAGAGUUAGGGUGUAAGAAGUGAUGGCCAUCUGGGACAAGGAUAACUGGGUAAUUACGUUAAUUGAAGAGGUUCAGCAAGAUCCAAGGUGAAAACAGUGAGGUAAAGAGACAGGGCUAAAAGCAAAUGGUGAGAGGAGCAGGAAGAGAUGGGCCCCAGAAUUUAAAGGAUGAGAUGGGGAGUAAGGGAAGAGAGGGGGCUAAGAGAAGCUGGGGGAGUCCUGAUGGAUGUAGAACUGGGGUAGACUGCAUGGGGGUGGGAAUCGAAUGUGCGUGUUAUGGGGAGUUGCUCCAGAAGGUCUGCAAGGGUCAGGGCAGAAAUGCUGUAGUGAAAGAUCAAGUUUAAGAGAGCCUUUGGUGCAGAAGACGAGGAACCAUGAUUCUUUGGAUGGGAAGAGACCUUGAAAGGACCUCUAGUUUAUCCUGCAACUCCAGUCAAUAUCCUACUUAAAUCAUUCCAGGUAAUAGAGAAGAGGAAACCUAACCAAUGACUGUGGAAUAAUAUGGAAGAAGAUGGAAAAAACUUGUUUAAUGGACAGAAGACACUUGAGAAUAUUUGUAGCAAGAGGAAGGAAGCAAACAAAAG
Molecule: long non-coding RNA, 1244 nt
Filed under: Pan troglodytes (chimpanzee)
Lineage: Eukaryota; Metazoa; Chordata; Mammalia; Primates; Hominidae
Description: long non-coding RNA NONPTRT015137
Source: RNAcentral